Molecule: non-coding RNA, 20 nt
Filed under: Arabidopsis thaliana (thale cress)
Lineage: Eukaryota; Viridiplantae; Streptophyta; Magnoliopsida; Brassicales; Brassicaceae
Source: RNAcentral
GAUCACUGCACUAAUAUGGG